UUCUAAGUCCAACAUAGC
This 18-nucleotide non-coding RNA is filed under the name Arabidopsis thaliana (thale cress). The record is from RNAcentral. Lineage: Eukaryota; Viridiplantae; Streptophyta; Magnoliopsida; Brassicales; Brassicaceae.